AUGGCCGGCACCGAGGGAGAUGAUGCCUCCAAGGCGGCGGAGCUGGCCAAGGGGAAGCCGGGGGAGCCGGCGACUCCACAGAAGGCGCGGCUCAUCGACGGCAGCGGCAGCGGCGAGGUUCGCGUCGUCGAGCCCAUCGUCCGGCAGACUUCGUCGAUGGUGCAACUUCCCCCGCUGACCCGCACGAACUACACCGAGUGGGCGCUCGUCACGCGAGUGCGGCUGCAAGCGCAAGGCCGAUGGGAGGUGGUCGAGCAUGGCGCCGUCAUCGACUACCGCGAUGAUCGUGAAGCCUUGGGCCUCAUCCUCCAGGCUGUGCCGCCAGAGAUGUUGCGCUCCUUGGCUGCGAAGGACUCGGCGAAGGAGGCUUGGGACACCCUCAAGACCUUGAGGAUGGGGUCCGAGCGCGUCCGCGAAGCCCGGGCGCAGACGCGUCGAUUGGAGUUCGAGAAUCUUCGGUUCAUGGAUGGCGAGAGGAUGGAGGAGUUCGCUGUCCGCCUCACCGGCAUCGUCAACGACCUCGAGGCCCUCGGCAACGGCAUCACCGAGCACAAGGCGGUGCUCAAGUUUCUUCGCUGCGUGCCGCAGCACUACCGGCAGCUCGGGCACUCAAUCCGGUCGCUGCUCGACCUCAAGACCUUGACCAUUGAAGAGCUCACGGGUCGCUCCUUGGCCGUGGAGGAGAGCUUCGACAUGGACGAGGUAGGCAGCAGCGACCGCGGCAUCGGCUGCUCCUCACGGAGGAGUGGCUUGCUCACGACAAGAACCGCCGUGGCGCCGGCAAGAAGAAGAGCACCUUCGACAUCCGCAAGGUUCGCUGCUACAACUGUCAAGAGUACGGGCAUUUCUCGAGGGAGUGCACCGCGCCAAGGAAGGAGCAGGCCCAUCUCACCGCCGCAACUGCCGCCGACGAGCCGGCGCUUCUUUGAAGGUCCACGUGAAGGUGUUCAAAUAAAUGACAACAAGGUUAAGGGGGUGAUUGUUAGAAUUAAUCUUGUUGUAGAGUCCUAG
This 1011-nucleotide ribosomal RNA is filed under the name Triticum aestivum (bread wheat). Its description in RNAcentral is "partial small subunit ribosomal RNA". The record is from RNAcentral. Lineage: Eukaryota; Viridiplantae; Streptophyta; Magnoliopsida; Poales; Poaceae.